Molecule: transfer RNA, 83 nt
Filed under: Candidatus Iainarchaeum sp.
Lineage: Archaea; Nanobdellati; Candidatus Iainarchaeota; Candidatus Iainarchaeia; Candidatus Iainarchaeales; Candidatus Iainarchaeaceae
Description: tRNA-Leu
Rfam family: tRNA
About the family: Transfer RNA (tRNA) molecules are approximately 80 nucleotides in length. Their secondary structure includes four short double-helical elements and three loops (D, anti-codon, and T loops).
Source: RNAcentral
GCGGGAGUAGUCAAGCGGCCAACGACACCGGGUUGAGGGCCCGCGCCCUAGCGGCUACGGCGGUUCGAAUCCGCCCUCCCGCA